GAUGAACGCUGGCGGCGUGCUUAACACAUGCAAGUCGAACGAAGCACUGAGGAAUGAUUCUUCGGAUGAAAGCCUCUUUGACUGAGUGGCGGACGGGUGAGUAACGCGUGGGUAACCUGCCUCACACAGGGGGAUAACAGUUGGAAACGACCGCUAAUACCGCAUAACCCGCUGGCACCGCAUGGUGCUGACGGAAAAGAUUUUAUCGGUGUGAGAUGGACCCGCGUCUGAUUAGCCAGUUGGCAGGGUAACGGCCUACCAAAGCGACGAUCAGUAGCCGGCCUGAGAGGGUGAACGGCCACAUUGGGACUGAGACACGGCCCAA
Molecule: ribosomal RNA, 325 nt
Filed under: uncultured bacterium
Lineage: Bacteria
Description: bacterial SSU rRNA
Rfam family: Bacterial small subunit ribosomal RNA
Source: RNAcentral